This 253-nucleotide unclassified non-coding RNA is filed under the name Candidatus Spechtiibacteriota bacterium. RNAcentral's name for it is "Candidatus Spechtbacteria bacterium contains 16S-23S intergenic spacer region". It matches the Rfam family "Bacterial small subunit ribosomal RNA", at positions 524 to 776 of the family's 1533-position model. Lineage: Bacteria; Candidatus Spechtiibacteriota. The record is from RNAcentral.
UACGUGAGCCCCAAGCGUUGUCCGGAAUUAUUGGGCGUAAAGCGUCCGCAGGCGGUUAUGUUAGUCUUGUGUUAAAUCUUCAGGCUCAACCUGGAGGCUGCGCAGGAAACGGCAUAACUAGAGGGCAUGAGAGGCAAGUAGAACGCACGGUGUAGGGGUGGAAUCCGUUGAUAUCGUGCGGAAUACCAAAGGCGAAGGCAGCUUGCUGGCAUGACCCUGACGCUCAGGGACGAAAGCGUGGGUAGCGAAUGGG